This 253-nucleotide ribosomal RNA is filed under the name uncultured bacterium. Its description in RNAcentral is "partial 16S ribosomal RNA". It matches the Rfam family "Bacterial small subunit ribosomal RNA", at positions 524 to 776 of the family's 1533-position model. The record is from RNAcentral.
UACGAAGGGAGCUAGCGUUGUUCGGAAUCACUGGGCGUAAAGCGCACGUAGGCGGGUCUUUAAGUCAGGGGUGAAAUCCUGGAGCUCAACUCCAGAACUGCCUUUGAUACUGAAGAUCUUGAGUUCGGGAGAGGUGAGUGGAACUGCGAGUGUAGAGGUGAAAUUCGUAGAUAUUCGCAAGAACACCAGUGGCGAAGGCGGCUCACUGGCCCGAUACUGACGCUGAGGUGCGAAAGCGUGGGGAGCAAACAGG